Molecule: long non-coding RNA, 755 nt
Organism: Poecilia latipinna (sailfin molly)
Lineage: Eukaryota; Metazoa; Chordata; Actinopteri; Cyprinodontiformes; Poeciliidae
Exons: 3
Source: RefSeq, a predicted model, not a curated record
UCAGGUCUUCCCCCAAACCCCUUUUACCUGUGGGUUUCCCCUUUUACUCUUUUGGUGUCUUGAUCUCCCUGUGAGCCCUGGUGAAUUUUAGUCGGCACGUCUUUUACAGAGGGUGGGGAACCAUGGAGCAGCUCUGCCACUUCAGCUCCAGGCAGGGGGGCUGCCCAGGGCAGAGUGUCCCAGGCAAAAGAGGCUAUUCUGGGCAGAGGGAGCCCCUCCACGCAGCUUCAGGAUCCCAGUAGAAACAGGAGGGCUCAUCCCAACUGGGCCAUAUUGGGUAAAGAAAUGUUGUGUCUUUGUGUCUGAUCAUGUAUGAUUGUUUUCACAGAGAUGAAAAAAGACAGAAUUUAUAGACACGUUGCAAUGUCACGUCUCACAGGCAGCGUCUUGCCGACAAUGACUACCAUUGGUUUUAGCUCUCAAGUUAACAACAUAAUGGGCUAAAGCAUAAAUAUAUGUGUGAUAUAUAAAACGCAGUGCUUUGUUACUAAUUGUCAACACUAUGACAGCAAGACAACAAGAUCUAAGGGUGUCCAAUUUCACAAGUCAGGAAAAUGUUUUAAUUUAAAAAGAAAUAGGGAAGGAGAGUUAAGUAGGACAGUUAUGCUAGCUUGACUUUUACAAACUUAGCAUGUAGAUGUGCUGCAGAAUUUGGCAACCUACACACCAACACUCUGAGAGAUCAUCAGCAGAGCAGGUGUUUAAUUAGCUAAUCAACCACAGCUGUGUUCAGAUGAUCACUUUCAACAUUUUUU